This 1037-nucleotide ribosomal RNA is filed under the name uncultured Campylobacterota bacterium. RNAcentral's name for it is "bacterial SSU rRNA". It matches the Rfam family "Bacterial small subunit ribosomal RNA", at positions 335 to 1384 of the family's 1533-position model. The record is from RNAcentral. Lineage: Bacteria; Pseudomonadati; Campylobacterota.
ACUCCUACGGGAGGCAGCAGUGAGGAAUAUUGCGCAAUGGGGGAAACUCUGAUGCAGCAACGCCGCGUGGAGGAUGACACAUUUCGGUGCGUAAACUCCUUUUAUAUGGGAAGAUAAUGACGGUACCAUAUGAAUAAGCACCGGCUAACUCCGUGCCAGCAGCCGCGGUAAUACGGAGGGUGCAAGCGUUACUCGGAAUCACUGGGCGUAAAGCGCGCGCAGGCGGCUAUUUAAGUUGGAUGUGAAAGCCUACGGCUCAACCGUAGAACUGCAUCCAAAACUAUUUAGCUAGAGUGUGGGAGAGGAAGAUGGAAUUAGUUGUGUAGGGGUAAAAUCCGUAGAGAUAACUAGGAAUACCAAAAGCGAAGGCAAUCUUCUGGAACAUUACUGACGCUGAGGCGCGAAAGCGUGGGGAGCAAACAGGAUUAGAUACCCUGGUAGUCCACGCCCUAAACGAUGAAUGGUAGUCGUCGGGUAGCUAGUCUAUUCGGUGAUGCAGCUAACGCAUUAAACAUUCCGCCUGGGGAGUACGGUCGCAAGAUUAAAACUCAAAGGAAUAGACGGGGACCCGCACAAGUGGUGGAGCAUGUGGUUUAAUUCGAAGAUACGCGAAGAACCUUACCUAGCCUUGACAUAUAUUAGAACUCACCAGAGAUGGAGAGGUGCCUUCGGGAGCUUUUAUACAGGUGCUGCACGGCUGUCGUCAGCUCGUGUCGUGAGAUGUUGGGUUAAGUCCCGCAACGAGCGCAACCCUCGUCACUAGUUACUAACGGUUCGGGCCGAGGACUCUAGUGAGACUGCCUUCGUAAGGAGGAGGAGGUGAGGACGACGUCAGUCAUCAUGGCCCUUACGGCUAGGCAACACACGUGCUACAUGGUCAGGACAGUGAGACGCGAUACGUUGAGGUGGAGCAUCUAUAGCUGAUUUCAGUCGAAUGGAGUCUGCAAUCGACUACUGAGCUGUAUCCUAGAUCGUAAAUAGCUAGGCUCGGGUAAUCGUCCGACUUGCCACCGCGGUAUCAUGAAUCCGGGUCUCGA